RNAcentral lists this ribosomal RNA (632 nucleotides) under Ascomycota sp. UNEX FECRGA 2012E362. Its description in RNAcentral is "eukaryotic LSU rRNA". The stretch from base 268 to 421 matches the Rfam family "5.8S ribosomal RNA". The record is from RNAcentral. Lineage: Eukaryota; Fungi; Ascomycota.
UUGGUCAUUUAGAGGAAGUAAAAGUCGUAACAAGGUCUCCGUAGGUGAACCUGCGGAGGGAUCAUUACACAAUACGAAGGCGGGCUGGAUUCCCCCCCUGAUGGGCACUGCUUCACGGCGUGCGCAACGGGGGCCCGGCCCUGCUGAACUAUUCACCCGUGUCUUUUGCGUACCUCUUGUUUCCUGGGCGGGCUCGCCCGCCACCAGGACCAACCAUAAACCUUUUUGUAAUAGCAAUCCGCGUCAGUAACAACGUAAUUAAAUUACAACUUUCAACAACGGAUCUCUUGGUUCUGGCAUCGAUGAAGAACGCAGCGAAAUGCGAUACGUAGUGUGAAUUGCAGAAUUCAGUGAAUCAUCGAAUCUUUGAACGCACAUUGCGCCCUUUGGUAUUCCAAAGGGCAUGCCUGUUCGAGCGUCAUUUGUACCCUCAAGCUUUGCUUGGUGUUGGGCGUCUUUGUCUCCAGCUCGCUGGAGACUCGCCUUAAAGUCAUUGGCAGCCGGCCUACUGGUUUCGGAGCGCAGCACAAGUCGCGCUCUUCUUCCAGCCAAGGUCAGCGUCCAGCAAGCCUUUAUUCAACCUUUGACCUCGGAUCAGGUAGGGAUACCCGCUGAACUUAAGCAUAUCAAUA